This 73-nucleotide transfer RNA is filed under the name Listeria monocytogenes. RNAcentral's name for it is "tRNA-Asn". It matches the Rfam family "tRNA". Rfam says of the family: Transfer RNA (tRNA) molecules are approximately 80 nucleotides in length. The record is from RNAcentral. Lineage: Bacteria; Bacillati; Bacillota; Bacilli; Caryophanales; Listeriaceae.
UCCACAGUAGCUCACUUGGUAGAGCAAUCGGCUGUUAACCGAUCGGUCGCAGGUUCGAGUCCUGCCUGUGGAG